GUCCACGCCCUAAACGAUGUCAACUGGUUGUUGGGUCUUCACUGACUCAGUAACGAAGCUAACGCGUGAAGUUGACCGCCUGGGGAGUACGGCCGCAAGGUUGAAACUAAAAGGAAUUGACGGGGACCCGCACAAGCGGUGGAUGAUGUGGUUUAAUUCGAUGCAACGCGAAAAACCUUAACCCACCUUUGACAUGUACGGAAUUUGCCAGAGAUGGCUUAGUGCUCGAAAGAGAGCCGUAACACAGGUGCUGCAUGGCUGUCGU
RNAcentral lists this ribosomal RNA (265 nucleotides) under uncultured bacterium. RNAcentral describes it as "partial 16S ribosomal RNA". It matches the Rfam family "Bacterial small subunit ribosomal RNA", at positions 793 to 1055 of the family's 1533-position model. The record is from RNAcentral.